GGCUCAAUUACUGAAGGAUUGCUAAAUCUUUCCCCUCAAAGCUUGAUUACUAGAGGAAUUUUUCCUGAACUGAGGCACAGACAGCCCACCUCUCCUGAAUGUAAACAGCUUGAGAGCCUUUGGCAGAGGCUUCCCCUCCUGAUCCAUCCUAGCUGCUCUAGAUCAACCAAGACACAGGCAGAUGGAAAUGAACAACAGAGAAAGAGGGCCAUGCUAAAGCUUCUCUUGCUGUAUACCAGGGGUGGGGAACUUGUGGCCCUCCAGACAUUGGAGUACAACUCCCAUGAUCCCUGACCCAUUGGCUGUGCUAGUUCGGGCUGAUGGAGGUUGAAACCAGCAACAUCCAGAAAGCUACAUGUUCCCUUCUUCUGCUGUGAACACUCAAAGAAGAAUUGUGUUUGAGAUCCCUUGGGCUGUGUGUCAGAUUUCAUCGCAGAGGGUGGACCCAAUAUGAGGUCAGCCCUUGCUCAAUUCAAAAUAUGGUCGCUAUUUUAAAACAGACUAGCUGCCUAUAGUACUGGCACAGUAUGGUGGAUGUUGUGGUUUAACAGGAAACAAACUUCCAAGUGGAGGGGAGUAACCUUGUGAUCAUCAUAGCUUAGCCAGCUUCUACAGGAAACAGGAAGAGCUGGUUUCUCCUCAGCUGAGUUCCCAAAGGUUGCUUGUGUCUAUAAAACAGAUGUACCCAUUGUGGGAUUUGGGUGGCGCUGUGGGUUAAACCCCAGAGCCUAGGGCUUGCCAAUCAGAAGGUCGGCGGUUCGAAUCCCUGCGACGGGAUGAGCUCCCAUUGCUCGGUCCCUGCUCCUGCCAACCUAGCAGUCCGAAAGCACGUCAAAGUGCAAGUAGAUAAAUAGGUACCGCUCCGGCGGGAAGGUAAAAGGCAUUUCCGUGCGCUGCUCUGGUUCGCCAGAAGCGGCUUAGUAAUGGUGGCCACAUGACCCGGAAGCUGUAUGCCGGCUCCCUUGGCCAGUAAAGCGAGAUGAGCACCCCAACCCCAGAGUCGGCCACGACUGGACCUAAUGGUCAGGGGUCCCUUUACCUUUACCCAUUGUGGUGCUUUCCAGAAGUUGUUGGACUACAGGCGUGCCAAGUAGGGGAUGGCUGAGGGGUCUUCAGCCCCCUCCAAAAAAAAUUCAAGGAGGGGGCUGGGCUCCUCCAAAAUCCUGUGGCCCCGCUCUGCCUCCUUCUCUCCGCCCAAUGUCAUGCAGGAAGGUGGAGGCCAAGCGCAUCCCAACCGGGCACAUGAGCACUGGCAUGCUAGGUAGGGGUGAUGCGUCACGUAAUGGACCCCCGAAAUGUGGGGGGGGGGAGUCGGCGCCCUUGUUGGAGUACAACUCUCAUCAGCCCCAGCCAGCAUGGCUAAUAGGGAUUGCUGAUGGGAGUUGCAAAGCAAAGCACAGUUUGGUAUGGUUUCAAAUUGGUUGUGAGUCCAUGUGUUGAGGUUCCUGCAUUGCAGGGGGGUUGGACUCGAUGACCCUCAAGGUCUCUUCCAACUCUACAGUUCUAACAUCUGGAAGGUACCAUUUUGGAUAUUCCUGCUCUAAAGGGAUUAAGUGUAGAUCAACAGCAAGUUCACCACUCAAAUAUGUCUGAUUGUAUGUCUGGUGCUCAGGGGUCAGGUUUAUGUGUGUUGAUUUGUGAGAAGCUGGUGAGUCGAUGGCAAAGGGAGUUUGGCCUUAACAAUGUUUGGCCUCUUUCUAAUUCUGUCAGUCCAUUAGUUGCGGACUAGCAAUAGCCAAAACAUACUUUGCUUGCCAAAAAGAAUAACCAUCUCCGUCCCUCUCAUCUUUGGACACACCGCCACCUUUCAAGCCAAAGCUGAGUUCUUGGCGGGAAUUCGCUCAUUUCCCCCCUGCUCUUCCUGAUUUCAUUUGGCAUACGCACUGAAGGGGGAAAAGUGCAAUUGAAUCUAUCCUUUCGGUAUCUGAAUUCCCAUAAACCUUUCUUCUCCUAAUGCAAAAUCUUGGAAACAGUGCAAGGACAACAUGUUGCCAAACGAUUUUGCAAUCUGAUUUUUAGACCAGAGGGUUUCACAUAAUUUGGCAGAGGGUUUUUUUGGUAUUUUAUCUGCUGGAUGCCUACCCACAAUAUACCUCUGAGCACAUUACUUUGCCUUCCCUAAUUGCUACCUGACAAUGAGUUUACAGCAUUUCUUUUGGAUUUAUGCUUUUAUUCCAAGUUGCCUCCAGAGCCAGGCUUUGCAAGCAUUGGGGGGGAAAUGUGGUUAUCAUUGCCAAGCUAGGUGCAAGAGUGAAGGUUAUAGGGUCAGAAAGGGAAAGGAAUGGCUUUGAUGGAAAACUGAUGGCAUCUACCAUGGGGCUGUUUUAUUGUGAAAUGAACUGCAUUUGCCAAAUAAUGCUAUCCAACUAGAACGGCUGUCCAUAUUAAGACACUUCUGAAGGAGAUGAUGCUCGAUCAAAUCUUCAUGAUCAGGUCAUCCCAAGCAAGGGUAGGCUAACACACUGCUUCCCCCAUGUCCAGGUCUCAUACUGCACCAAUUACUGAAAGAGGAAAGCAUCUGGGAGAGGUGUGCACUGCACAUCCCUGGGGGACCACUAUUAUCUUAUGAGGCUGUUUUGCAAGGCUUCCUUGUUUCAAUGUGUCAGUAGCUCUUUACCACACAUGAGUUGGUCUUAUGCUCAAAUGUCAGCAUCCUGAGAACCUCGGCUUCAAAGGAAAAUCGCUUUCGCUUCUGGCUCAUAAGGCUAUGGAGAAAGUGUGUCUAUUGUUGGUGUUUCAUUUUGUUUUAUGAGUUCACCUGCAUAUUCAUUCUUGUAAUGCAAAAGAAUUGUAAGUACAUAAUGAAGAUGAAACACUGGGGGUGCCCCAACAGCAAAAUCCAGCUUUUCUUAAUAGAACGCCUUCUCCACUUUGACCCAUAUCAAUGUCGUCAGUGAACUUUGCUCAUGCAGCAAAAGUAAACAAAGAACCACUCUUUUUUUUUGUAGUAUACCUUUUUUAUUAAACUUUUCAAACAUUUUUACAAUAAUCUUUGUAUUAAAUAGUUACAUUGUUUCAUAAAUUGUCUUCCCACUCCCACCUCUGCAGUGCUUUUAAUCGAACCUUUUCUACCACAUUAUAUCUUCAUCUGUUACAAGAAGUUUAUCUGUUGCAGUUCUUUAGCAAAUAACUAUUCUUAGUAGCUGCCUAACACCUAUGCAAUUCCAUUGUCCU
Podarcis lilfordi (Lilford's wall lizard) is the source of this 3174-nucleotide non-coding RNA. The record is from the annotation of a GenBank genome assembly. NCBI's taxonomy places the organism in Eukaryota, Metazoa, Chordata, Lepidosauria, Squamata, Lacertidae.